Long non-coding RNA from Melitaea cinxia (Glanville fritillary), 832 nucleotides. RefSeq lists it as uncharacterized. The transcript is spliced from 2 exons. The record is from RefSeq and is a predicted model, not a curated record. NCBI's taxonomy places the organism in Eukaryota, Metazoa, Arthropoda, Insecta, Lepidoptera, Nymphalidae.
GUCAAUUUAAUUCUUGUUAUACCAGUACUCACUGGAAUUAUGCUAAACGGAUUCUCAGGUAUUUAAAGAGAACUAAAAAUUAUUGUAUAAGGUAUAUAAAAGGAAGUUUUGAAUUGUUGGGAUUUGCUGAUGCUGACUGGGCUAAUAAUAGUAUUGACCGGAAAUCAUAUACAGGGUAUUGCUUUGUGAUGUCAGGGGGUGUCAUAUCAUGGGAAAGUAGAAAACAAAGGACUGUGGCUCUUUCCAGUAUGGAAGCUGAGUACAUGUCAAUGGCAGAGGCAUGCAAAGAAUUAAUGUAUUUGAGAGUAUUGUUGUCUGAAGUCACUAAUCAAGAUGUAUGUCCUAUUACCUUAUACAAUGAUAGCCAGAGUGCUCAAAAAUUUGUUGUUAAUCAUGCUUUGAAUAGGAAAAGUAAACAUAUAGAUAUCCGUUAUCAUUUCCUAAGAGAUGCUGUUAGUAGUAAUAUUAUAAAUAUUGAAUAUGUGUGUACUAAUGAUAUGCCAGCUGAUGUUCUUACAAAGGCACUCGGUGUGACAAAGCAUUACCAAUGCAUUGAAGCUUUAGGAAUUUGUUAAUUUGUAAAGAGUUGUUAAUUUGUAAAGUAAGUUUCAUGUGAUGUAGUGGGGGUGUUAUAAUAAUACAUCAAAUGAAACAAAUGGUGCCAUCUAUUGGUGAUGUUGUAGAGUAAUUGAAUAUUGAUUGUAAUCUGUUGAAUUGAUUGAAUGAUUAGCUUUUGUAACUCUUUCCUUUAAUUGUAUAAAGUAGUUCGCUGUUCGCCACCAUUGUGUAAACUUGUCGUCUUUAUUAAAUUAUAAUUAUUACUAACAGUUUA